This 1516-nucleotide unclassified non-coding RNA is filed under the name Bactrocera latifrons. RNAcentral describes it as "uncharacterized LOC108977775, transcript variant X2". Lineage: Eukaryota; Metazoa; Arthropoda; Insecta; Diptera; Tephritidae. The record is from RNAcentral.
AUUGUUUACAUUUUACUUCUCGUUGUGUACAUUAUUUUGUUUCUAUAAUUAUGGAUAGUUCUGAGGAAAAGUUCUCGUGGACGCAACAAUUGACAAUGAAACUCAUACAAGAAGUCGAGCGUCGUCCAUGCAUUUGGAGCCGUGCAGAUGGUGAUUACUCAAAUAAAACAAUGAAAGCAAUUGCAUUUGAUGAAAUCGGUGAAAUACUGAAUGUGCCAAGCGCCAACGUACGUGAAAAAUUCCGAAAUCUACGCAUAAAUUUCAUGCAGGUGCAUAAAAAGAAAUUGUCUGCCGGUAGCAGAGCAAACUAUGUACCAAAAUGGGAGUUUUACAAUGCAUUACUCUAUAUGGCGGAUACGUGUGUAGCUUCUUCGAUAUCUUCUGCGUCGUCAACCACAUCAAAAUCAACAAAACGACGAAAAUUGCGCGAUUACAAAACAAAUACACAAGAUACGCCUAUAACUACAGAUCCCUUGUUUGACGAUUGCAAUAGUUCACAGACGACACAAUUUAGCCACGACAAAGAGUCGCGUUCAAAGUUUGUCGAAUAUGUAACACCCUUCAAGAGAACAACGGACAAUUUAAGUGAAACGGAAAUGCCUGUUAAAAGAACCGCAGACAAAUUUGGCGAAUGUAUAGAAACGCCUAGAUCAUCGCAUGUAAAGUUUGGCGAAUAUAUAGCAUUUAGUCUUGAAAAUCUCGACGACACGCAAUUAGUUAAGAAAACAAAAGCUAAAAUACAGCUCAUCAUAUCCGAAGCAAUAAGAGAACGUGCCAUGGCCGAAUUGGCUCUGUGCGAGUCUAGUGCGGAAUUUUAAAACAUUUCUCAUUAACAUAUCCGCACUCCAUUAUAUUUAAAAUUCGAGUUGGUUUACUUCGAUUUUUUGAAACACAGAAGGCGGAAUUUCGAACAUCUACACGGACGGAUCAAAAAUAAGCAUAUUUACUGAGUUUUGAGCCACAAGGACAUGCCAGGGACCGCCAAGGCAUGGAAGAAAAUACGCAUGCUUUUUCUUUACACAGUUUCGCAAAGACUGCGGGAAAGUUGUUGGCAUAGUCACAGGUCACAACUUACUGGCAGCACAUGCGAAUCUUAUGGGCAUUAUUAACGAUAACACAAAUAAAGCAUGAGGGCGAGAACAGCGUCUCUUACCUUGACCUUAUUUUCAACUCGGCUUAAAUAUUUAGUAGCUGCAAAUAGCGUUGACGUCCUGUAUGAUGCAGACAUCAGCUAAAACUUACCGAUCCAAAUGAGGUUACUUUACUUCUGGGAAUUGCAGCAAGUUAAACUCUUCUACUAGACUCGACCCCGACAUAUCAAAUAUACAUAUGUCCAGCAUGCAACGAGUCCACGCAUGACGCUAACUACCACUUUGCAUGCCCAGCUAAAUCUCCAUAUCAGACAUUCCUUUCUUUAUGGACUGAUUCGAAAAAUCGUCGAAACAGCUCGUUCCGGGGCCUACGAAAACUUCAGGACGUAUUAAAUUAAAUGUCGUUCUUUCAUUAGAAAGGAUAU